Molecule: transfer RNA, 68 nt
Filed under: Hypselodoris bullockii
Lineage: Eukaryota; Metazoa; Mollusca; Gastropoda; Nudibranchia; Chromodorididae
Description: tRNA-Asp
Rfam family: tRNA
About the family: Transfer RNA (tRNA) molecules are approximately 80 nucleotides in length. Their secondary structure includes four short double-helical elements and three loops (D, anti-codon, and T loops).
Source: RNAcentral
UUUAGUUUAGUUUAAUAUAAAACAAUAGCUUGUCGAGCUUUAAAUACAAUAUUAUAUUGUACCUAAAU